Molecule: long non-coding RNA, 3085 nt
Organism: Artibeus jamaicensis (Jamaican fruit-eating bat)
Lineage: Eukaryota; Metazoa; Chordata; Mammalia; Chiroptera; Phyllostomidae
Exons: 3
Source: RefSeq, a predicted model, not a curated record
GUGUCUUUGAUCAGGUUCUGCAGUUUAGGGCUUGGGCAUCUGUGGGAGACUAUUAUGCAUCUUAUCAGAAUUCUGAAACAAAUCACCAGCCAAACUUAGGAAAGAAUUGGUAGAAGGCCAACUGAUUACUUCAACAGUUUAAGCAAAUAAGAAAUAGAUCUGGAAAUUUUUCACUUGAGUGAUGAACUGUAAUCCAACGUGCUGAUACAAAUCUGGGACUUCCCGUUAUUACCCAGUCACACGCCGCUUAACAGCACUCCAGUCAAGGACAGACCGUGCGUAUGGCAGUGGCCCUGAUACAUUCCCAUGGAACUGAACUUGUCUGUCUUUGCUUCAGUCUGUGGAAUUUAGCAGAAGUGAUGCAAAGUGACCGCCCGGGGCUAGGACAGGAGGCCUGGAAGCAGGAAGAGCCUCGUAUGUUCGGUAGAACACUGAUUCGCAGACACCUGAGCUGCUGCAAAGGUGUGAGGAAGCCCAGGCCCCAUGGGGUGCCCCUAUCUAAGCUAAGCCAGUGACAGUCCCAGCUGCAGCUGGCCUUCAAGUCACUCCAGCCGAGGCACCAAAUACGGGAGUGAAGAAGCCUCCAGGGGAUUCCUGUCCACCACCAUUCAAGUCACCUGCAGAGAUCUGAGCCUCCUCACUGAGGCCGCCCCACCGAGGGGCUGUCCACACCCCUGACCCAUCACACCCGAGAGCAUAAUGAAAUAUGGUGUUUUACGCCAGGAAGUUUUGGGGUGAUUCGUGACACAGAAAUAAAGAACCAGAAAAUUCUUCAAGGUUUGGAACAAAUAAAAAUGAGUCCCAGUCAAGAUGCAACUCAACCGGUGGAAACAAAAAGAACAUGCGACCUAUUCUUUGUGAACUGUCUGUGCUCCAGAGCUUCGGUCGGUAUGAUUAGAUGGAGUGGAGAACUUUGUAUAAGCUGGCGAUAUAGGCAACUAGCUUAAUGAAUAGGCCACAUGAAAGCUGUAGCUAAGCCAAGCAAAGCGAACACUCAGAAGCACCUUCACAUACACACGUGUGGAGGAGCAUGAGUGUAUUAUCACAGCUUCCUGUUUGUGCAUGUGUGGGUGCGUGUGUUUCCCCACGGAGGGUUAUUUUCCUUCCCUCUCUCUCAUGGGAUUGCCCUUGCAAGGAUCUGGUGAUACCUCUCAUUGGGUUGCCAUUUCCAGAACUGAUACAACUUUAAUUUUUGUAUUGGUGACUUAUGGUAGAAAGGGUGUUUCCUAAUCCGAUAUUUGCUGUUCUAUUUGGGGGAGUUUUUCAGAUUUUCCUCCCAAAGUUUUAAAAAAAAGGGAAAGAAAAUAUAACAGGGCCACUUGGUAGUGCACAAUUUUCCUCUUCAUGGGCUCUUUUAAAAAAGUUUCUAGACCAUUGUGCCUCAAAUUAUAAAGUAAAUAAUUCUUCACUUAGAGGAUUAACUGCAUAAAAUGAUGGACCUCCUCAACUGUCAGGUACAUUUGAACCCUGACUGAGCGAUGAAAACUACUAAGUAUUAAGGGAAGGGCUAAAGUCCUACCCCUUCUGCAGCCACGUUUGACAUAUAGCGACACAUUGCCAGGGACUUUCUAUGGCUGUCAUAGAAAAGGAGAUUUAUGGGAGAGAGGGAAGGAGGGAGGGAGGAACGGUCCUGGUGAAGGCAGAGGAAUUCUUUGAGGUGUACUCAACAUGAGAACUGCACUCAAAUGGCAAAGCAUUUACGGCAAAAGAUUUUAUCUAAUGGCUGGUAAAUCAAUCAGGUACAUCUAUAGAAAUGUAUAAUUUUUAGCUUUAAAAUAUCAUGAAAUUUGGACCAGGAAUAGGCAUCUUGGAACACAGACAGUCAAGUCUAAAAACAUGAUUUAGAAGAAAGUCACCCAAGGUUACCAAACGAUGAAGCACCCCUCCCUUCUCCCCACCAAACGUUAAGGUGCAGGUAUGCCAGGUCUCUGUCCACACCAUCCACUGCCUACCUUAAUGGCCGGUGUGACAAACUGGAGAGGAAAUUUGCAGAAAUAUGAUUUAUUUAAUCACAUCAAAGUUGAAUCACAAAGUUCUACUGGGUAAGUGCCAGCCUCUGGGCUUUGACAGUGUGGUCCUAUGGGUCACGCUACACAGGGUGCUCAGUGCUGCUGGGCGGCAAGGCUGCAGACUGUGUUCGACCAUUCGAAUAACGCCGCUCUUAGUUUGGAGGUGUGAUAAACCCUACGAUUUAUCCCAAAAACACUUUCUUCCAAUGAAGUUUUCAGUAUGUUAAUAUUCUACCAGUAUUAUGUUCCAUCAAUGAUGUCUUCCUAUUAAUUAUAAGGUAGAACACACAUCCCCAAAUACUUUAAACCUAGGGAGAAUGUUUAGGCAAAUACCGUACUUUGCCAUGUAUAAUGUGUACCCACAUUUUCGUGUGCAUUAUACACAGGAUUAUUAUACCCGUGGCAUGUAAUCAUUAUACCCAUGUAUAAUGUACAUCAUUAUAUUCCCCUCAAACAUUUGGGCAAAAAAUUGUGUGUUAUACACAGCAAAAUACAGCACAUAGAAAAUGCAGUUGGAAAUCUUUACUUUUCUUUCCCAAAAGCCAAAGAAUUAAUAUGAGCAUGUUAAAUGGCUAAUGUAUUCAUAUUAAGGCAGAGUUGAUCAUUAUUCACAACGAGAUGAAUAAUUAGUAUUACUUGGACCAGAGCCUAAUAUAUUACUCAUAGAGUGAAGUUAUAGUAACUUGAUAUUGGAUAGUAGGAUUUUAAUUUUUUUAUUUACUGAUUUAAGAGAGAGAGGAAGGGAAGGAAGGAAGGAGAGAGGAACAUCGAUUUGUUGUCCCAGAUAUUUAUGCCUUCACUGGUUGCUUCUUGUAUGUGCCCUGACUGGGGAUCAAACCUGUAACUUUGGCAUAUCAGGACGACAGACACUCUAACCAACUGAGCUACCUGCCAGGACCUAGAUCUUAGGAUUUUAUAGAACAAAAAUACCUAAGAGCAUUAGCCUCUAAAAUCCUGUUCGUACCUCCCAGGAAAUGCAUCAGACCCAGUCCAGUCAUGGAGUUAAUACCAGAAUUUAGAUUUAAAGUUACUUUUAAAAAUAUCCUCACUCAGAAUACACUUACUGAUUUUAGAGA